GGAUCCAGACUUUGAUUAUGGCUCAGGAUGAACGCUGGCGGCAUGCCUAAGACAUGCAAGCCGAACGAGGCGACCUUUGGAAGACCGAAGUGCUUGCACUGAAGUAAGAAGAAGAUCAUCGUCUAGUGGCAGACGGGUGAGUAACACGUGGGUAACCUACCUUCAAGCUGGGGAUAACAGUUGGAAACGACUGAUAAUACCGAAUAAGAUAUAGCAAUAUAUUGAAAGGAGCCUUUAAAGCUCCACUUAAAGAUGGGCCUGCGGCGUAUUAACUAGUUGGUGAGGUAAUGGCUCACCAAGGUAACGAUGCGUAGCCGAACUGAGAGGUUGAACGGCCACACUGGGACUGAGACACGGCCCAGACUCCUACGGGAGACAGCAGUUAGGAAUAUUCGUCAAUGGGGGAAACCCUGAACGAGCAAUGCCGCGUGAGUGAUGAAGGCCCUAUGGGUUGUAAAACUCUGUUGUAUGGGAAGAACGGCCAUAUAAGGAAAUGUAUAUGGAGUGACGGUACCAUACCAGAAAGCUCCGGCUAACUACGUGCCAGCAGCCGCGGUAAUACGUAGGGAGCGAGCGUUAUCCGGAUUUAUUGGGCGUAAAGCGUGCGUAGGCGGUUUAUUAAGUUUAAGAUAAAAGCCCGGGGCUCAACUCCGGUUCGUCUUAAAAACUGGUAGGCUUGAGUGUGGUAGAGGUAAAUGGAGUUUCUAGUGUAGCGGUGAAAUGCGUAGAUAUUAGAAGGAACACCAGUGGCGAAGGCGAUUUACUGGGCCAUAACUGACGCUGAGGCACGAAAGCGUGGGGAGCAAAUAGGAUUAGAUACCCUAGUAGUCCACGCCGUAAACGAUGAGUACUAAGUGUUGGAAUUUCCAGUGCUGAAGCUAACGUAUUAAGUACUCCGCCUGAGUAGUACGGUCGCAAGGC
This 921-nucleotide ribosomal RNA is filed under the name uncultured Bacillota bacterium. RNAcentral describes it as "bacterial SSU rRNA". It matches the Rfam family "Bacterial small subunit ribosomal RNA", at positions 1 to 894 of the family's 1533-position model. Lineage: Bacteria; Bacillati; Bacillota. The record is from RNAcentral.